CAGCUUGCUGGGUGGAUCAGUGGCGAACGGGUGAGUAACACGUGAGCAAUCUGCCCCUGACUCUGGGAUAAGCGCUGGAAACGGCGUCUAAUACUGGAUAUGAACCGUGGAGGCAUCUUCAACGGUUGGAAAGAUUUUUUGGUCAGGGAUGAGCUCGCGGCCUAUCAGCUUGUUGGUGAGGUAAUGGCUCACCAAGGCGUCGACGGGUAGCCGGCCUGAGAGGGUGACCGGCCACACUGGGACUGAGACACGGCCCAGACUCCUACGGGAGGCAGCAGUGGGGAAUAUUGCACAAUGGGCGCAAGCCUGAUGCAGCAACGCCGCGUGAGGGAUGACGGCCUUCGGGUUGUAAACCUCUUUUAGCAGGGAAGAAGCGAAAGUGACGGUACCUGCAGAAAAAGCGCCGGCUAACUACGUGCCAGCAGCCGCGGUAAUACGUAGGGCGCAAGCGUUAUCCGGAAUUAUUGGGCGUAAAGAGCUCGUAGGCGGUUUGUCGCGUCUGCUGUGAAAUCCCGAGGCUCAACCUCGGGUCUGCAGUGGGUACGGGCAGACUAGAGUGCGGUAGGGGAGAUUGGAAUUCCUGGUGUAGCGGUGGAAUGCGCAGAUAUCAGGAGGAACACCGAUGGCGAAGGCAGAUCUCUGGGCCGUAACUGACGCUGAGGAGCGAAAGGGUGGGGAGCAAACAGGCUUAGAUACCCUGGUAGUCCACCCCGUAAACGUUGGGAACUAGUUGUGGGGUCCAUUCCACGGAUUCCGUGACGCAGCUAACGCAUUAAGUUCCCCGCCUGGGGGAGUACGGCCGCAAGGCUAAAACUCAAAGGAAUUGACGGGGACCCGCACAAGCGGCGGAGCAUGCGGAUUAAUUCGAUGCAACGCGAAGAACCUUACCAAGGCUUGACAUAUACCAAGAACGCUGCAAGAAAAUGUAGAACUCUUUUGGACACUCGUAA
This 950-nucleotide ribosomal RNA is filed under the name marine bacterium AG15_003. RNAcentral's name for it is "bacterial SSU rRNA". It matches the Rfam family "Bacterial small subunit ribosomal RNA", at positions 76 to 1032 of the family's 1533-position model. The record is from RNAcentral.